UACGGGUGGGGCAAGCGUUGUUCGGAAUUACUGGGCGUAAAGGGUUCGUAGGCGGCCAACUAAGUCAGACGUGAAAUCCCUCGGCUUAACCGGGGAACUGCGUCUGAUACUGGAUGGCUUGAGGUUGGGAGAGGGAUGCGGAAUUCCAGGUGUAGCGGUGAAAUGCGUAGAUAUCUGGAGGAACACCGGUGGCGAAGGCGGCAUCCUGGACCAAUUCUGACGCUGAGGAGCGAAAGCCAGGGGAGCAAACGGG
Molecule: ribosomal RNA, 253 nt
Filed under: uncultured bacterium
Lineage: Bacteria
Description: partial 16S ribosomal RNA
Rfam family: Bacterial small subunit ribosomal RNA
Source: RNAcentral